Molecule: long non-coding RNA, 831 nt
Organism: Cyprinodon variegatus (sheepshead minnow)
Lineage: Eukaryota; Metazoa; Chordata; Actinopteri; Cyprinodontiformes; Cyprinodontidae
Exons: 4
Source: RefSeq, a predicted model, not a curated record
CUGAGACAAUUUCAAGCUAUCGUGUUGUUCAGCAGCCAGCUGUUCUAGAUCUAUCCCGUCCAGCAGAGUCAGAUACUCUGCAGUGUUCACUCCUUUCUCUGCCUGAGGAAAACACCUGUUCAGGAGAACCCAGUGUGUUCUGGUUAAGGACCAAACUAGGCAAGUCUGUUCCAGAUCUCAUCUUCACUGAUGGAAAAACACCUGAAAAUUGUGAGAAGCCAUCAAACGCUGAAAAGAGAUGUAGUUAUAACUUCUCUAAGAAGGUCUCCCCUUCUGAUCUUGGAACAUACUACUGUGCAGUGGCCACAUGUGGAGAGAUAUUACUUGGAGAUGGAACCAGAGUCGAAAUUGCUCAUUCAUUAAGUGGCAUGUCUUUGGUAAUAACAAUGAUCUGCUUGGCCAUAUCUGUGCUUUUGAAUAUUGGCUUAAUUUGUUGCCAAACUCACAGAAGAUCACUCAAAAACAGAGAAAGAUCUUCUUCACAAACAAAACAUAACCACACAAGGCAACCUGAUGAUUUUACAGAAGAAGGAGAGCAUCUGACCUAUGCUGCCUUACAUUUCUCUACAGGGACGACGAACAGGAGAGAGUUGAAGACUAAAGAAAGUGUGUAUUCAAACGUCAGACUGAGUCAUUUAGAGAAUACAUCCUGAUGAAGCUCAUUUGUCUUAUUAAAUAUACCUCAAUAGACAACCUAUACAAAGAUAAUUCAAUAUAUUAAAUUAACACCAUAUUUCUGUGCUUCAGAUUUGUUUAUUGGUCUGUAGUGAUCUCAGUUGUCAUAUCUUCAUUAAGUGGAAAAAUGUCAUGAUUAUAGUAUGUUUGGAAAAA